Motacilla alba alba is the source of this 2447-nucleotide long non-coding RNA. RefSeq lists it as uncharacterized. The transcript has 4 exons. The record is from RefSeq and is a predicted model, not a curated record. Lineage: Eukaryota; Metazoa; Chordata; Aves; Passeriformes; Motacillidae.
UCCGCCACGGGAAGGAAGCGACACCGGCUCGGGAAGCGCUCCCGGGGGAGGAAGGGGGCGGCCGAGGUCCGCAAGGGAAAGUAAAAAUGCUAAUAAGUAGUGGGAAUAGGAAUAAUAGUGUGAAAAACGCCAAAUCGCUUGUUUUUAGAAUUUUGAAAGUUUAAUAGUAAUAGAAUGGUUGUAAAAGUAUUGAUAUAAUUGGAGUAAUAAAAAUUUGGGACAGUUAAGAUUUACGACAAUACGAGACAAUAACAAGACGGUCCGGGUACCUCUUUCUGGGCAAAAUAAGCCAGAAAAAGGGCACACGUUAAUAGAGGAUCAGCCCUUAAAAGCAAUAGCCUGUCGCAUAUUCAUACACCUCAUACAUGAUGCAUAAAUUCCAUUCAAACAAAGGAUUCUGUCUGGUCAGGGUCAGUGUCAGCUUCUUCCUCUGAAUCCUGACGGCAUCCUCAGGACUGAGCGAGGCGGGAAGAAUUCGAAAUACCUCCUCGUGCUUUGUCUCUCAAGGCAAAAAGAGCUUCUCCUUGUAACACCCUGCAAGCUUCAUCACUUGAAAAAACAUUUACAGCUUGAAAGAAUAUGAGGGAAAAGACUGAUUGUGAGUCUCUGCUGUGGUCUUCAAACGAAGAACUUUUUCAGGCCAACGAUGUGCUUUGCAAUGAUGUGUUAGAGGGGCACAUGAUGGGCCAGCUCCUGCCUGGGGUGUUGCUGUAAUUAAGAUCCCACAGCAGGAAAGUUGUAAGAGACAAUGAUAUAAAGCGUCUCAUCAUACUUUAUUGACUGCUCUGAGAUCUACAUAAAAUAACCAGCCGGAAAGGAUGGCAACUUUAUUGCAGCAGCAUUUCCAAUUAAAGCGAUCCUGUUGUAACUUGUACACAGGUGCUAUAAAAUAUAAACUCUUCAUUUUAUUCCUAAUCAAUGCAGCUACAUCAUCCCUACAUACUUCACUGGAGAUUCAACACUUCCCUGGAGAGGUUACACUGGAGUUUGCGGGUGGCUGGAGCAGCUUCCUCGGGCAGGUGCUGUCGGGGUGCCUGCAGCACCAAAAGUGUCUCCACGUCGGGCUACUUAACAACUUCCCCAGCCCACCAGACACCCGAGCCCAAAUGUAGUAAUUGAUGCCUCACCAGGAUGACGAGAGGACUCUUCCCUUGGUACACACUUCCCACGGCCUGGUCUGUGGUUCUUUUAAAGCAUGUUAGGGCUACUAAAAUGAUAAAUAUUAUGAGAAGAAUCCACAUCAGACCUCUGAGAAUCAAGGCUGCCCACUCGGGAACACCCCAUUGGGAGAACAAUUUGUCCUCAGCAUCCGUUCUUUUACUUUCUGUAAAGAGAGACUUCACUUGUCCUUGUAUUUCCUUGAUGUUUGCUUGGAUCAUUGUACUCCAGGAAGACAAAAACAGAGUCCCUCCAACUCUUUGCAGCCCUGGCCAUGGGUGAGCAGCAAGAAGUCAAUUGCUGCCUGGUUCUGCAGCGUGGCAUGCCUGGUGGUCUCUUCGUCCGCCAAGAGAUCGGACAAGACGGCAGAUGUGGCGUUGGCCUGCUUACUAAGCCACCACCCCAGGUGAGAAAGCUCACCGAGGGCCUUUUGCAGCUGAGACCCAUGUCAAGAAAAUGGACAUAGCGACCCUCUUUGUUCUUCCCCAGUUAUAAAUCUGGCUAUCGCAAUUUGGGUCCAAUUGGGUAUAUGAUCUUUUUUGUCGCACUAAUUGAGUUUCUCGCCGCCAAUUUUUGAUUUGCGUGGUGUUUGGGGUGAGAGUAGUAAGCUGGCCAAGUCUGCAGGGACCCCCUUUGAUCUUCGAGGGGAUCCCUGCCCACACCCUGUCACCACAGAUAAGAAACACUCCCUUGGGGACACCCUGGGAAAGGGAGAUGACUCAGGGUUUCUCGAGUGUAAUUAGGCCAAUUGGCUACAUUAUAACUCUUAUCAUUAUGAGAUACAUAUUUUCUUUCUAAUAUCUGUGGCUUCCUUGUUUCAUGCCAAUCUUUUUCCAAUAGGUUGUAGAAAAAAUUGAUACAGUAAGUUGCUCGAGAGUAGCCCAGUAGGUCUAAUUCCUGGGGCUCCUGGGGUGCAUGAGGCAAAAUCCUUGUCCACUCGUCCCAGGUGUCCACCGGGUUGGGUUUCUUACCUGUGUAAGAAUAAUCAUUCAGUGACACGGGGAUUCCUACCAGGCAUGUGGAUAGUGAGUCAGCCACGCUUCCCAUGGCCACGCAAAAAUUGUUCUGUUGGAGGGAUUUUGCAGGUGUGACCCAAACAUUUUCUUGUGGCUGUGGUGCAAUCCAUCCAGCUGCUGUUUGGAUGUAGAGGAGCACAGUGAUGAUGAUUGCAGCUGCCGUGAAGGUUUGGGGUGCUCUGAGGGAUGCCAUUGACACAGCCAUCCGGUGGUCUGGUGAAAUGAGGUGUGUGUUUGCAGAAAGAAAACAGAAAUAAAGGUCAGUAAAAGGUU